Molecule: ribosomal RNA, 429 nt
Filed under: uncultured bacterium
Lineage: Bacteria
Description: bacterial SSU rRNA
Rfam family: Bacterial small subunit ribosomal RNA
Source: RNAcentral
ACGAACGCUGGCGGCAUGCCUAACACAUGCAAGUCGAACGCUCCGCAAGGGGAGUGGCGAACGGGUGAGUAACGCGUGGGAACCUGCCCAGUAGUUGGGGAUAACCGCGGGAAACUGCGGCUAAUACCGAAUACGCCCUUAGGGGGAAAGAUUUAUCGCUAUUGGAGGGGCCCGCGUCGGAUUAGCUAGUUGGUGAGGUAACGGCUCACCAAGGCGACGAUCCGUAGCUGGUCUGAGAGGAUGAUCAGCCACACUGGGACUUAGACACGGCCCAGACUCCUACGGGAGGCAGCAGUGGGGAAUAUUGGACAAUGGGGGCAACCCUGAUCCAGCAAUGCCGCGUGAGUGAUGAAGGCCUUAGGGUUGUAAAGCUCUUUUACCGGGGACGAUGAUGACGGUACCCGGAGAAUAAGCCCCGGCUAACUUCGU